AGACAAUCGCGGCUGCAGGUGCCGAAAGGCCGCAGACGAGGAAAGUCCGGGCUUCACAGGGCAGGAUGCCGGAUAACGUCCGGUGGAGGUGACUCCAAGGCCAGUGCAACAGAAAUAAACCGCCGCAAUGGAAAACGGGAAGGCAUCAGCCGGAACGCAUUUCCGUGCGGUAAGGGUGGAAAGGCAGUGUAAGAGACUACCGCCUCGCUGGUAACAGAGAGGGCACAUGUAAACCCCAUCCGAAGCAAGACCGAAACGUAAGCAAUGUGGCGGCCCGUCACGCUUCAGGUAGGUCGCUCGAGCACGGCGGUAACGCCGCGCCUAGACAGAUGAUUGUCCAAUGACAUAACCCGGCUUAUCGUCUUGCUUGA
RNAcentral lists this RNase P RNA (371 nucleotides) under uncultured Mediterraneibacter sp. RNAcentral describes it as "Bacterial RNase P class A". It matches the Rfam family "Bacterial RNase P class A". From Rfam's summary of the family: Ribonuclease P (RNase P) is a ubiquitous endoribonuclease, found in archaea, bacteria and eukarya as well as chloroplasts and mitochondria. Its best characterised activity is the generation of mature 5'-ends of tRNAs by cleaving the 5'-leader elements of precursor-tRNAs. The record is from RNAcentral. Lineage: Bacteria; Bacillati; Bacillota; Clostridia; Lachnospirales; Lachnospiraceae.